This 465-nucleotide ribosomal RNA is filed under the name uncultured bacterium. RNAcentral's name for it is "partial 16S ribosomal RNA". It matches the Rfam family "Bacterial small subunit ribosomal RNA", at positions 338 to 795 of the family's 1533-position model. The record is from RNAcentral.
CCUACGGGUGGCAGCAGUAGGGAAUCUUCCACAAUGGGCGAAAGCCUGAUGGAGCAACGCCGCGUGGGUGAAGAAGGUCUUCGGAUCGUAAAACCCUGUUGUUAGAGAAGAAAGUGCGUGAGAGUAACUGUUCACGUUUAGACGGUAUCUAACCAGAAAGCAACGGCUAAAUACGUGCCAGCAGCAGAGGUAGUACGUAGGUGGCAAGCGUUAUACGGAUUUAUUGGGAGUAAAGGGAACGAAGGCGGUCUUUUAAGUCGUAUGUGAAAGCCUUAGGCAUAACCGGAGUAGUGCAUUGGAAACUGGGAGGCUUGAGUGCAGACGAGGAGAGUGGAACUCCAUGUGUAGCGGUGAAAUGCGUAGAUAUAUGGAAGAACACCAGUGGCGAAAGCGGCUCUCUGGUCUGUAACUGACGCUGAGGUUCGAAAGCGUGGGUAGCAAACAGGAUUAGAUACCCCUGUAGUC